Molecule: ribosomal RNA, 301 nt
Filed under: uncultured bacterium
Lineage: Bacteria
Description: partial 16S ribosomal RNA
Rfam family: Bacterial small subunit ribosomal RNA
Source: RNAcentral
CAGCCGCCACGGGAAUACGGAGGGUGCAAGCGUUAAUCGGAAUUACUGGGCGUAAAGCGCACGCAGGCGGUUUGUUAAGUCAGAUGUGAAAUCCCCGAGCUUAACUUGGGAACUGCAUUUGAAACUGGCAAGCUAGAGUCUUGUAGAGGGGGGUAGAAUUCCAGGUGUAGCGGUGAGAUGCGUAGAGAUCUGGAGGAAUACCGGUGGCGAAGGCGGCCCCCUGGACAAAGACUGACGCUCAGGUGCGAAAGCGUGGGGAGCAAACAGGAUUAGAUACCCCGGUAGUCCCUGUCUCUUAUAC